GGCGAGAUGGCCGAGCGGUCUAAGGCGCUGUCUUAAGGAGCUUCCACUCUGAAAUCGGCAGUCCGAAAGGGCGUGGGUUCGAAUCCCACUCUCGUCA
Molecule: transfer RNA, 97 nt
Rfam family: tRNA
About the family: Transfer RNA (tRNA) molecules are approximately 80 nucleotides in length. Their secondary structure includes four short double-helical elements and three loops (D, anti-codon, and T loops).